GAGCGUCACUUCCGCCGUGUCACGAUGGAGGAGAUCGGAGUGCUGUGCGAGAAGGCCCAGCGAUGGCGUCACACGCGGCUGGUGUCGCACAUGGAUGACGUCACGGGCGAUGACGUCACACGGCGGCGGUGUCGCUCAGUGCUCGCUGCCCCCCCCAGGAGGACCUCCCGGCGCUGCCCCGCCCCCACCCGGCGCUGCCCUUCCUGGGCCCCGAAGCCGAAGACCUCGAGGACCUCUACAGCCGAUACAAGAAGCUGCAGCAGGAGCUGGAGUUCCUGGAGGUGCAGGAGGAGUACAUAAAGGACGAGCAGAAGAACCUCAAGAAGGAAUUCCUGCACGCCCAGGAGGAGGUGAAGCGCAUCCAAAGCAUCCCAUUGGUCAUCGGGCAGUUCCUCGAGGCCGUGGAUCAGAACACCGCCAUCGUGGGAUCCACCACUGG
RNAcentral lists this long non-coding RNA (439 nucleotides) under Gallus gallus (chicken). The record is from RNAcentral. Lineage: Eukaryota; Metazoa; Chordata; Aves; Galliformes; Phasianidae.